GAUGAACGCUGGCGGCGUGCCUAAUACAUGCAAGUCGAGCGAACAGACGAUGCUCUUGCUCCUCUCACGUUAGCCGCGCACGUGUGAGUAACACGUGGAUAACCUCCCUAUAAUACUGGGAUCACUUCGGGAAACCGGCUCUAAUACCGUAUAAUAUCUUGAUCCGCAUUGUUCAAUAGUGAAAUACGGUUUUUCUGUCACUUAUAGCUGCUUCUGGGCUGCAUUAGCUAGUUGGUACGGUAAUGGCUUACCAAGGCGACCAUGCGUAGCCGAACUGAGAGGGUGAUAGGCCACACGGGAGGUGAGACACGGUCAAGACUCCUACGAGAGGCAGCAGUAGGGAAUCGGACGCAAUAGGCGAAAGCAUGACGGAGCAACGGGACGUGAGUGACGGAGGUCUUCGGAGCGUGAAACUCUGUUAUUAGGGAAGAACAAAUGUGGAAGUAAAUAUGCACGUAUUGACGGUAACUAAUAAGAAAGCCACGGCUAACUACGUG
Molecule: ribosomal RNA, 497 nt
Filed under: uncultured bacterium
Lineage: Bacteria
Description: partial 16S ribosomal RNA
Rfam family: Bacterial small subunit ribosomal RNA
Source: RNAcentral